AAAGAAAUCAACCGAGAUUCCCCCAGUAGCGGCGAGCGAACGGGGAGCAGCCCGGAGUCUGAAUCAGCUUGUGUGUUAGUGGAAGCGUCUGGAAAGUCGCAGGGUACAGGGUGAUACUCCCGUACACUAAAACACACAGGUUGUGAACUCGAAGAGUAGGGCGGGACACGUGGUAUCCUGUCUGAAUAUGGGGGGACCAUCCUCCAAGGCUAAAUACUCCUGACUGACCGAUAGUGAACCAGUACCGUGAGGGAAAGGCGAAAAGAACCCCGGCGAGGGGAGUGAAAAAGAACCUGAAACCGUGUACGUACAAGCAGUAGGAGCCC
This 326-nucleotide ribosomal RNA is filed under the name Enterobacter sp. HMSC055A11. RNAcentral describes it as "bacterial LSU rRNA". It matches the Rfam family "Bacterial large subunit ribosomal RNA", at positions 218 to 582 of the family's 2925-position model. Lineage: Bacteria; Pseudomonadati; Pseudomonadota; Gammaproteobacteria; Enterobacterales; Enterobacteriaceae. The record is from RNAcentral.